This 253-nucleotide ribosomal RNA is filed under the name uncultured bacterium. RNAcentral's name for it is "partial 16S ribosomal RNA". It matches the Rfam family "Bacterial small subunit ribosomal RNA", at positions 524 to 776 of the family's 1533-position model. The record is from RNAcentral.
UACGUAGGGGGCAAGCGUUGUCCGGAAUUAUUGGGCGUAAAGAGCUCGUAGGCGGUGUGUCGCGUCGGAUGUGAAAGCCCGGGGCUUAACCCCGGGUCUGCAUUCGGUACGGGCAUGCUGGAGUUCGGUAGGGGAGACUGGAAUUCCUGGUGUAGCGGUGAAAUGCGUAGAUAUCUGGAGGAACACCGGUGGCGAAGGCGGCAUCCUGGACCGGCAUUGACGCUGAGGCGCGAAAGCCAGGGGAGCAAACGGG